Molecule: non-coding RNA, 29 nt
Filed under: Mus musculus (house mouse)
Lineage: Eukaryota; Metazoa; Chordata; Mammalia; Rodentia; Muridae
Source: RNAcentral
UGACUAGUCUAUGAACUAUUUUAGGAGUC